UACGUAGGGAGCAAGCGUUGUCCGGAAUCAUUGGGCGUAAAGCGCGCGUAGGUGGCCCGGUAAGUCCGCUCUGAAAGUCAAAGGCUCAACCUUUGAAAGCGGGUGGAUACUGCCAGGCUAGAGUCCGGAAGAGGCGAGUGGAAUUCCUGGUGUAGCGGUGGAAUGCGCAGAUAUCAGGAGGAACACCCGUAGCGAAGGCGGCACUCUGGGCCGAUACUGACACUGAGGAGCGAAGGCGUGGGGAGCGAACAGG
This 253-nucleotide ribosomal RNA is filed under the name uncultured bacterium. RNAcentral describes it as "partial 16S ribosomal RNA". It matches the Rfam family "Bacterial small subunit ribosomal RNA", at positions 524 to 776 of the family's 1533-position model. The record is from RNAcentral.